AGCAGCGUGGCUCAGUGGAGAGAGCAUGGGCUUGGGAGUCAGAGGUCAUGGGUUCAAAUCCCAGCUCAGCCG
This is a non-coding RNA of Ornithorhynchus anatinus (platypus), 72 nucleotides long. NCBI's taxonomy places the organism in Eukaryota, Metazoa, Chordata, Mammalia, Monotremata, Ornithorhynchidae. The record is from Rfam.